AGAAUGACAGCCCUGGAGACCUGUCAGUACAUAGAAAAGAUUGUAUGGAUUGUAGCUUACCAACUCGAGCCGGAUUCUGAUGAUGAAACGGUUGAAGUGGUUGACUGAUAAGAGACUGAUUCACAAGCACGACUGGAGCAGGACAUUUCUCAGUGAGCCAAGGAGAGAUGGAUGGAUGGAGAGACAGAAGAUGGGGAGAACAGAGGCAUUCCCAAACGGAUGAAGACAACAUGUUUUCAUGGCAACUUGGCCUUGGCAGGACUCGGCUGCGUCGGAAGUUCCCGCUGACGGCUGUUAUCAUAGAAGAGACAUAUCCAUGGUGAUAGCAGCAGCCGUUCACAUACAGGCUGAUGAGGGACAUUUCAGAAGCCUUGUGUUACUGCCAUUUAUGAGCAAGGUCAUUCCCACGGGACACGCCGAAAACAUCAGUAACGCUGAGACAAGUGGCCUCCAAUGGCAACACCACGCGAUCUCAUUGGCUGGAGCAAAGCGG
Molecule: long non-coding RNA, 493 nt
Organism: Cyprinus carpio (common carp)
Lineage: Eukaryota; Metazoa; Chordata; Actinopteri; Cypriniformes; Cyprinidae
Exons: 4
Source: RefSeq, a predicted model, not a curated record